UCCUAACCACUAAUGAAGUGUGUUCUUCCAGAAGAUAUCACAGCAAAAAAAGCAGCUCGUUGUGGUAAAUACCAUCCCUGGCAAAACACUGGAAAGCUUAAUGUAUCUGAAAGUGUGCAGCAAUUUAAAAUCAAGUUAGGAGUUAAUCAAAUAACAUCAGCUUUGUCUCAUUUCAGUGGUGGAACAAGCACUAAAUUGUGGAUUUUAAACAAACACGAGCAGGUUGUUGUGGCCUUGGCUGUCAGAGUGUGGGGGUUUGUUGGCCAUAAUUCCUCUUCCAAGCCGAAAAAAAGCACUCACGGAAGGAAGAGGCUGCACCCUGAACAUCUCCAGAGAGCCACGCGUGCCAAGGGCCAGCGCUGGGUGUGAAGCACCAUCCUCAGUGCCUGGAGAGGGCACAGGAACACUCUGACCAUUCAUAAAGGGUUCUUUGGAAACCUCUCCAACACAGCUGAAGUGCAAAAAUUACUUCAAGUGCUCACAAACUCCACCUGUGGGGCCAUAACUCAGCUGAGACCAAGAGCUCCCGGUUCCUCCACAGUGAGUGGGAGCAGUUCGGUCCCACCACUUCCAAUGACUUCAGAGUGAAAGGAAAGUUAUUUCAAAGUAAGUAAAACAUUUUCACCAGUGAAAAACUUCCUCCCAAGGUCUAAUUCAUGGCUUGAAUGAGCUCCCUAGAGCAGAGCUCACUGAGGUGUCUGCUGGUGAGGGGAGAGGGGAGCAGCUUUGGUGGCAAACCUGGUUUUGCUGUUGCCUUCUGUUUAACUUCAGUGUGUGCUGUUAUGUGAUGGAAGUAGAAAAGUGCAUCUGAAAGCAGCAAAUAUGAAAGGUACCAGUACAUUAAAAUGAUACCAGGUGAAUGCUGCAGGAGGAGGAGAUUCCUGAGCCAGGGACUGAGUCGCUUCUGACGAGGUUUAAACUGAGCAAGUGACGGGAGUUCAACAUCUGCAUUUUUGUUCUUCAGUGACAGAGGCACUUGUUUCAUUUUGGACCUGAAAUAACAAUUAAACAAGCUUUUCUACUUCUUGCAGGAGUCAGUUUUUCAGACCAUUUUAAUGAAUGUGUAUUUGUCUAAAAGUGAUGAGGCCUGGGAAGGAUCUGGUGCUAAAGCACCUUUAUUUCCCUAACUCGAGGUGUCGAGGCAGCAGAGAGAGCCUGUCUGCCCUGCUUAGGCUGAUCUAACCAGGAACCUGAAUUCAGCUGACACACAGAUGACACCCACACCCAGCCCUUCCCUUCCACAGUGUUCCCAUCUGUUCCUGAGGGGAGGAAAGGAAAAUCAGGUUGGUUUUGUUGCUGUUUUGCUCAGGAGGGAGCAGGCUCUGCUUCCUCCAGGUGCAACAUUCAUCUACCAAAGCAGAUUUAUUUUCCUUUUUAACAUUCAGAAUUUAGUGUGGGGUUUGAGGGAUUUUGUCCCUGUGGUGCUGCAGGGCUUUCAGCAUCCCCUGCUGGAAAUUCUUCAUGGAUACCCAGGUCCAGGCACCUGUGGAUGGUGGCUUGGCCGUGUCACCUCCACCUGCUCAGGACUGAGGGGCAUGAGUUGGUCAUGGGUUUAACAAAACCACAAAAUAGCCCAAAAUCAAGGGAUUUCCAGGGGCCUGGGAGGUCCUGCAGCCCCAGCUCCCCCUGUCCCCAGCACAACCUCAACGUGAGGAUGGGGAGAGCAAAUCUGAGGAGAGACUUGGGAACAUCCCACUGAAAUUCCUCUCUGCUGAUGCCCAAAUUUGCAGCACAGGGAAAAUCACGGCAUUUAUACAGCACUGAAGAAAAUAAACCAAACUUUAUAUUCCUAAACUGUUAGAGC
Cyanistes caeruleus (blue tit) is the source of this 1804-nucleotide long non-coding RNA. NCBI's taxonomy places the organism in Eukaryota, Metazoa, Chordata, Aves, Passeriformes, Paridae. The record is from Ensembl.